Molecule: long non-coding RNA, 588 nt
Organism: Suricata suricatta (meerkat)
Lineage: Eukaryota; Metazoa; Chordata; Mammalia; Carnivora; Herpestidae
Exons: 2
Source: RefSeq, a predicted model, not a curated record
GGUACAAGGAAAAGCCACCAGGGGCUGUUGUGGCCCUGAGCCAGGAGGAAGAAAGUUCAAAGAAUCCUAGCAGCAGGGAGUCAGGCAGAUUCUGGAUGACCUGAAGGGUCCUUGGAUAGACAGACAUUCUACAGAAGUUGUGAGACUAUUCUCUUCCCAUUCGACCUUGCUUCAUUCUCCCGGCAAUUUGCUCCACGCUAGAAAUCUGUUACGUUUCUUGGAGGCACAGAAAGAACUGCCUAACUGAAAACCAGCGCCGCUAAAACCCUUCCAGGGCACACAGUUCACCUGACUCCCAGCCUCCCUUGCGGCUGCGCGCUACCACGUGACUUAGGAAGGCCAAUGGAAGUACGCCUACAGCGCCACCUCCUGGCGUGGACGGAGCUCACUGCAGGCGUGCGGUCCUCCCUGCUCUCUGCCCCCGUGUGUCCGAGGAAUGUGGGGAGAUGGGCAGAGGACUCUGAAGCCCCGGAGCCUGGGGAAGCCACAGAUGAAGGGGUGUGGGCCCCCCGGGGCUUUAUGCCAACUUAGGGGACAGUGAACUGUCCCAGGAAUAAGAAAUAAACCUCAACUGUACUGAGUCAGUGA